This 712-nucleotide long non-coding RNA is filed under the name Mytilus galloprovincialis (Mediterranean mussel). Lineage: Eukaryota; Metazoa; Mollusca; Bivalvia; Mytilida; Mytilidae. The record is from RNAcentral.
GUGUUUAUUGAUAUACUUAAGUGCAAGGUUUAUCAGGGCUAGGUUUAAAACGUAUGAUAAAUUCAAAAUGGAAAUAUGCAGCAGGACAGACAAUUUUUGCAGAUAAAUAAAUUAUGGGUUGUAAUGCUUGUUUGAUUAACAGAAAUCUGGACAUGCAUUACAUGAAUACAGAUAAAUUAAUGAGCCCUUAGAAUUGUGGAAAAGGAGGGGAUUUUAUUCAUCACUAGUACACAAGAUACGUUUAUAAAUAUGUUUCUGUCAGCAUCUUUUAUGUUUUAAGAAUUAUCUUAUUCAUGUUAAGAAGAAAAGGGGGGAAGUACUUCAAUUGACACAAGAUGCUAGUCUUUAAAAUAUGUAUGUUUUGUACCAGGCUAGAAUCUACUGGUACAAAACUACUAUAACCUGUAAAUCUGGGACCAUUUUGGUCUUUAAGAUUUGGUGAUAUACAGCCAUAAUUAUCUUGAAUGCAUCAUUGUGGUUCUGACUAUAGUAGAUACAUUGUUCUCUGGUUCAAGGGAAAAUUUGUCAAUGAUAAAUUUCAAAUAUUUAAUAAGUUCAACAAAUGUAAGAGCCACGCAUAUUCAACAAAUUUAAGAGCCAUGCAUAUUUGUUCUGUGAUGUCCCGGUGAAAAACUUCCAUCUCAUGAAGCGACAAAGUCGAGCAGACAUCAUCUGUUUCUGCUUUACAAAAGAUAAAAUUUGAGUCCUCUAC